RNAcentral lists this long non-coding RNA (1538 nucleotides) under Homo sapiens (human). RNAcentral's name for it is "HSALNT0189902". Lineage: Eukaryota; Metazoa; Chordata; Mammalia; Primates; Hominidae. The record is from RNAcentral.
CUUGAGCCCGGGAGGCAGAGGUUGCAGUGAGCUGAGAUCACAGCCACUGGGCGACAGAGCGAGACUCCAUCUCAAAAAAGAAACAAAACAAAAAAAAAAGUAAGAUUUCCUGAGACGACCAAGGAGAGUGUCAAGGUUCCUGGAAGGAGAAAUAAAAGGAGGCAUAAGUGGAUUGCAGAUAAUUUUGUAAAAUUCAAUAUUCUACAAGGAUAAUUCUAAGGCUUCUGAUAUAAAUACCCAGUUCUACUAGUUGCCAUAUAUAGAGGUAAGUGAGCAGUAAUAGGACUGUCAUCUCAGCUCACUUGAUACGUCAUAUGUUUGGGUGAAUGAUGGUUUUGUCCUUAAGUUUUAGACAUUUAAUUAUAUCUAGAGGGCCAGGCACAGUGGCUCAUACCUGUAAUCCCAACACUUUGGGAGGCCAAGACAGGCAGAUCACCUGAGGCCAGGAGUUCUUUUUUUUUUUUUUUUUUUUUUGAGACAGAGUCUUGCUCUGUCACCCAGGCUGGAGUGCAGUGGCACGAUCUUAGCUCACUGCAAGCUCUGCCUGCCAGGCUCAUGCCAUUCUCCUGCCUCAGCCUCCCAAAUAGCUGAGACUACAGGUGCCCGCCACCACGCCCAGCUAAUUUUUUUUGUAUUUUUAGUAGAGACGGGGUUUCACUAUGUUAGCCAGGAUGGUCUCGAUCUCCUGACCUUGUGAUCUGCCUGUCUCAGCCUCCCAAAGUGCUGGGAUUACAGGUGUGAGCCACCACACCCGACUGAGGCCAGGAGUUCAAGGCCAGCCUGGCCAACAUGGUGAAACCCGGUCUCCACUAAAAAUACAAGAAAAUUAGCCAGGUGUGGUGGCGGGCACCUGUAAUCCCAGCUACUAAGAAGGCUGAGGCAAGAGAAUCACCUGAACCCAUGAGGUGGAGGUUACAGUGAGCUGAGAUCACGCCACUGCACUCCAUCCUGGGCAACAUAAAUAAAAAUUAUAAAAUAAAUAAAACGUAUUAAACUUGUGAAAAUACUUGGGACUUUUUAUGUAUCUAGGUACUUCAGUUUUUAAAGUUUGAUUUUGUGAGAUGGGUUCUAAUAUGUCCGAUUUCUCUUGCCCUGUUUUACAACUAAUCUAAACAAAACAGUCAUUCUAGUUUAUAUUCUGUCUUCCGAGAAACAUUGAGAAGCAAGCUGUCAGGCUGGUGCUUUUAAUGACAAUGAAAAUUUUCCUUCCUUUGCAUUUCCUUUAACAUUGUUUCCUCUACAAUCAAUCUUUUCUUAUCUUCUGGUUUAUAUGAAACAGACUCUAUAAUGCAGUCAACACAUUGAUUCCUUGACCUAUAUUUUAAGAAAAUUCCUGCUGGGUGCAGUGGCUCACACCUAUAAUCCCAGCACUUUGGGAGGCCGAGGCAGGUAGAUCACUUGAGGUCAGGAAUUUCAGACCAGCCUGACCAGCAUGGUGAAACUCUGUCUCUACUAAAAAUACAGACCUGGUGAUGCACGCCUAUAAUCCCAGCCACUUGAACCCGGGAGGCAGAGGUUGCAGUGAGCCGAGAUUGCAC